CUCGCCCGCCGCUCACCUCCUGCUGUGCGGCCCGGGUCCUAACAGGCCACAUGGACAGGAGAUGCGAUUCCCAUGGAAAAGAUGCCUCUCUGUGCCAGAAAGGAAGUCACCUUCCCGCCAUCGAUGGGAGGCUGGCACCAAGGGAUUCGGAACCUCGUUAAAAUAACUCUACCUCCCCUUGGCAUCCCCAGGCCCAGCUGAAAACGCCAAGAGGCAGAGGGGAAAUCUUGUCUCCCUCGGCUGCCCGCGGCGCCUCCGUCUGGCUGCUUUCAGCCUGAGUAGUCGAUUUGAGCCCUAAGACCGGCCGUCCUUCUGUGUGAACCAUCCGAGUCCCUCCACGCCUGUGUCACUGUGCCUGGAAACAAGGCAGAGGCCCUGGCUAUGAUGGGACAGCACCAGGUCACACAGGCAGGGCCCCCGUGGCCGGGCACAGGCCGGAGAACCGGGAAGCUGAGCUGACGAGGAUGCUAAGAUCUGAGAACCGUGGAGCUGGGAGGAGGCUGGUCCAGUAUGCUCAUGUUGUUGAUGGAGAAACUGAGGCCCAGAGUGAAGAAAAGACUUACCCAGGGACACGUGGCCCUGGUGGCGACAGUGGCAUUGGAAUUCUGGUUUGCAGUUCUGUACUCUUUCUGUCACACCUUGCCCUUGGAAUGAAUAUUCUAGUAAACGUAGACUGCGAUUUAGACGUGUUCACUCUGAGCUCACAGAUGCUUAACUCUCUGUUGUAUUCUUGGUUAGAGGCUUAAAUGCAGUUCAAGGGGUUAAUUCCUGGAGUCAUGUGCCUUAAACCCAGAGCUGCCUAA
This is a long non-coding RNA of Pteropus alecto (black flying fox), 803 nucleotides long. RefSeq lists it as uncharacterized. The transcript is spliced from 3 exons. Lineage: Eukaryota; Metazoa; Chordata; Mammalia; Chiroptera; Pteropodidae. The record is from RefSeq and is a predicted model, not a curated record.